This 3071-nucleotide ribosomal RNA is filed under the name Campylobacter jejuni. RNAcentral describes it as "23S ribosomal RNA". It matches the Rfam family "Bacterial large subunit ribosomal RNA". Lineage: Bacteria; Pseudomonadati; Campylobacterota; Epsilonproteobacteria; Campylobacterales; Campylobacteraceae. The record is from RNAcentral.
AAAAAAGGUAAGCUACUAAGAGCGAAUGGUGGAUGCCUUGACUGGUAAAGGCGAUGAAGGACGUACUAGACUGCGAUAAGCUACGGGGAGCUGUCAAGAAGCUUUGAUCCGUAGAUUUCCGAAUGGGGCAACCCAAUGUAUAGAGAUAUACAUUACCUAUAUAGGAGCGAACGAGGGGAAUUGAAACAUCUUAGUACCCUCAGGAAAAGAAAUCAAUAGAGAUUGCGUCAGUAGCGGCGAGCGAAAGCGCAAGAGGGCAAACCCAGUGCUUGCACUGGGGGUUGUAGGACUGCAAUGUGCAAGAGGUAAGUUUAGCAGAACAUUCUGGAAAGUAUAACCAUAGAGGGUGAUAGUCCCGUAUGCGAAAAACAAACCUUAGCUAGCAGUAUCCUGAGUAGGGCGGGACACGAGGAAUCCUGUCUGAAUCCGGGUCGACCACGAUCCAACCCUAAAUACUAAUACCAGAUCGAUAGUGCACAAGUACCGUGAGGGAAAGGUGAAAAGAACUGAGGUGAUCAGAGUGAAAUAGAACCUGAAACCAUUUGCUUACAAUCAUUCAGAGCCCUAUGUAGCAAUACAGGGUGAUGGACUGCCUUUUGCAUAAUGAGCCUGCGAGUUGUGGUGUCUGGCAAGGUUAAGCAAACGCGAAGCCGUAGCGAAAGCGAGUCUGAAUAGGGCGCUUAGUCAGAUGCUGCAGACCCGAAACGAAGUGAUCUAUCCAUGAGCAAGUUGAAGCUAGUGUAAGAACUAGUGGAGGACUGAACCCAUAGGCGUUGAAAAGCCCCGGGAUGACUUGUGGAUAGGGGUGAAAGGCCAAUCAAACUUCGUGAUAGCUGGUUCUCUCCGAAAUAUAUUUAGGUAUAGCGUUGUGUCGUAAUAUAAGGGGGUAGAGCACUGAAUGGGCUAGGGCAUACACCAAUGUACCAAACCCUAUCAAACUCCGAAUACCUUAUAUGUAAUCACAGCAGUCAGGCGGCGAGUGAUAAAAUCCGUCGUCAAGAGGGAAACAACCCAGACUACCAGCUAAGGUCCCUAAAUCUUACUUAAGUGGAAAACGAUGUGAAGUUACUUAAACAACCAGGAGGUUGGCUUAGAAGCAGCCAUCCUUUAAAGAAAGCGUAAUAGCUCACUGGUCUAGUGAUUUUGCGCGGAAAAUAUAACGGGGCUAAAGUAAGUACCGAAGCUGUAGACUUGCACACAACUUAGAUUAUUUAAGUUUAGAAUAUGAGAAACUAAGUUAUAUGUUUAGUUAUAUUUUUACUGAUUUUUAUAGAGUAAAGAUAGAAAUAAAACUUAGUAAAAUCAGUAAAAAUAUUCUUAGACUAAAGUUAAGUAGUUUAAGUUGUGUGCAAGUGGUAGGAGAGCGUUCUAUUUGCGUCGAAGGUAUACCGGUAAGGAGUGCUGGAGCGAAUAGAAGUGAGCAUGCAGGCAUGAGUAGCGAUAAUUAAUGUGAGAAUCAUUAACGCCGUAAACCCAAGGUUUCCUACGCGAUGCUCGUCAUCGUAGGGUUAGUCGGGUCCUAAGUCGAGUCCGAAAGGGGUAGACGAUGGCAAAUUGGUUAAUAUUCCAAUACCAACAUUAGUGUGCGAUGGAAGGACGCUUAGGGCUAAGGGGGCUAGCGGAUGGAAGUGCUAGUCUAAGGUCGUAGGAGGUUGUACAGGCAAAUCCGUAUAACAAUACUCCGAGAACUGAAAGGCUUUUUGAAGUCUUCGGAUGGAUAGAAGAACCCCUGAUGCCGUCGAGCCAAGAAAAGUUUCUAAGUUUAGCUAAUGUUGCCCGUACCGUAAACCGACACAGGUGGGUGGGAUGAGUAUUCUAAGGCGCGUGGAAGAACUCUCUUUAAGGAACUCUGCAAAAUAGCACCGUAUCUUCGGUAUAAGGUGUGGUUAGCUUUGUAUUAGGAUUUACUCCGAAAGCAAGGAAACUUACAACAAAGAGUCCCUCCCGACUGUUUACCAAAAACACAGCACUCUGCUAACUCGUAAGAGGAUGUAUAGGGUGUGACGCCUGCCCGGUGCUCGAAGGUUAAUUGAUGGGGUUAGCAUUAGCGAAGCUCUUGAUCGAAGCCCGAGUAAACGGCGGCCGUAACUAUAACGGUCCUAAGGUAGCGAAAUUCCUUGUCGGUUAAAUACCGACCUGCAUGAAUGGCGUAACGAGAUGGGAGCUGUCUCAAAGAGGGAUCCAGUGAAAUUGUAGUGGAGGUGAAAAUUCCUCCUACCCGCGGCAAGACGGAGAGACCCCGUGGACCUUUACUACAGCUUGACACUGCUACUUGGAUAAGAAUGUGCAGGAUAGGUGGGAGGCUUUGAGUAUAUGACGCCAGUUGUAUAUGAGCCAUUGUUGAGAUACCACUCUUUCUUAUUUGGGUAGCUAACCAGCUUGAGUUAUCCUCAAGUGGGACAAUGUCUGGUGGGUAGUUUGACUGGGGCGGUCGCCUCCCAAAUAAUAACGGAGGCUUACAAAGGUUGGCUCAGAACGGUUGGAAAUCGUUCGUAGAGUAUAAAGGUAUAAGCCAGCUUAACUGCAAGACAUACAAGUCAAGCAGAGACGAAAGUCGGUCUUAGUGAUCCGGUGGUUCUGUGUGGAAGGGCCAUCGCUCAAAGGAUAAAAGGUACCCCGGGGAUAACAGGCUGAUCUCCCCCAAGAGCUCACAUCGACGGGGAGGUUUGGCACCUCGAUGUCGGCUCAUCGCAUCCUGGGGCUGGAGCAGGUCCCAAGGGUAUGGCUGUUCGCCAUUUAAAGCGGUACGCGAGCUGGGUUCAGAACGUCGUGAGACAGUUCGGUCCCUAUCUGCCGUGGGCGUAAGAAGAUUGAAGAGAUUUGACCCUAGUACGAGAGGACCGGGUUGAACAAACCACUGGUGUAGCUGUUGUUCUGCCAAGAGCAUCGCAGCGUAGCUAAGUUUGGAAAGGAUAAACGCUGAAAGCAUCUAAGCGUGAAGCCAACUCUAAGAUGAAUCUUCUCUAAGCUCUCUAGAAGACUACUAGUUUGAUAGGCUGGGUGUGUAAUGGAUGAAAGUCCUUUAGCUGACCAGUACUAAUAGAGCGUUUGGCUUAUCUUUAAUAAAGCAU